CCUACGGGAGGCAGCAGUGAGGAAUAUUGGUCAAUGGACGAGAGUCUGAACCAGCCAAGUAGCGUGAAGGAUGACUGCCCUAUGGGUUGUAAACUUCUUUUAUAUGGGAAUAAAACGUUCCACGUGUGGGAUUUUGUAUGUACCAUAUGAAUAAGGAUCGGCUAACUCCGUGCCAGCAGCCGCGGUAAUACGGAGGAUCCGAGCGUUAUCCGGAUUUAUUGGGUUUAAAGGGAGCGUAGGUGGAUUGUUAAGUCAGUUGUGAAAGUUUGCGGCUCAACCGUAAAAUUGCAGUUGAAACUGGCAGUCUUGAGUACAGUAGAGGUGGGCGGAAUUCGUGGUGUAGCGGUGAAAUGCUUAGAUAUCACGAAGAACUCCGAUUGCGAAGGCAGUUCACUGGACUGCAACUGACACUGAGGCUCGAAAGUGUGGGUAUCAAACAGGAUUAGAUACCCCUUC
This 456-nucleotide ribosomal RNA is filed under the name uncultured bacterium. RNAcentral's name for it is "partial 16S ribosomal RNA". It matches the Rfam family "Bacterial small subunit ribosomal RNA", at positions 338 to 791 of the family's 1533-position model. The record is from RNAcentral.